This 253-nucleotide ribosomal RNA is filed under the name uncultured bacterium. RNAcentral's name for it is "partial 16S ribosomal RNA". It matches the Rfam family "Bacterial small subunit ribosomal RNA", at positions 524 to 776 of the family's 1533-position model. The record is from RNAcentral.
UACGGAGGUGGCAAGCGUUGCUCGGAAUCACUGGGCGUAAAGGGCGCGUAGGCGGGAUGGCAAGUCAGUCGUGAAAUCUCUCGGCUCAACCGAGAAACGUCGGCUGAUACUGCCGUUCUUGAGGGAUGCAGAGGAGACUGGAAUUCCCGGUGUAGCGGUGAAAUGUGUAGAGAUCGGGAGGAACACCGGUGGCGAAGGCGGGUCUCUGGGCAUCUCCUGACGCUGAGGCGCGAAAGCGUGGGGAGCGAACAGG